Molecule: ribosomal RNA, 253 nt
Filed under: uncultured bacterium
Lineage: Bacteria
Description: partial 16S ribosomal RNA
Rfam family: Bacterial small subunit ribosomal RNA
Source: RNAcentral
UACGUAGGGCGCAAGCGUUGUCCGGAAUUAUUGGGCGUAAAGAGCUCGUAGGCGGCCUGUUACGUCUGCUGUGAAAUCCCGGGGCUUAACCCCGGGCGUGCAGUGGAUACGGGCAGACUAGAGUGCGGUAGGGGAGAUUGGAAUUCCUGGUGUAGCGGUGGAAUGCGCAGAUAUCAGGAGGAACACCGAUGGCGAAGGCAGAUCUCUGGGCCGUAACUGACGCUGAGGAGCGAAAGCGUGGGGAGCGAACAGG